CGUGUAGGCGGUCGGUCAAGUCCGAUGUGAAAGCCCGGGGCUCAGCCUCGGAAGUGCAUCGGAAACUAGCCGGCUGGAGCGCGAUAGAGGAGGGUAGAAUUCCUGGUGUAGCGGUGAAAUGCGUAGAUAUCAGGAGGAAUACCGGCGGCGAAGGCGGCCCUCUGGAUCGUUGCUGACGCUGAGACGCGAAAGCGUGGGGGAGCAAACAGGAUUAGAUACCCUGGUAGUCCACGCGGUAAACGAUGGGUACUAGGUGUUCGGGGUAUUGACCCCCUGAGUGCCGCAGCUAACGCAUUAAGUACCCCGCCUGGGGACUACGGCCGCAAGGUUAAA
RNAcentral lists this ribosomal RNA (333 nucleotides) under uncultured bacterium. Its description in RNAcentral is "bacterial SSU rRNA". It matches the Rfam family "Bacterial small subunit ribosomal RNA", at positions 568 to 898 of the family's 1533-position model. The record is from RNAcentral.